Molecule: ribosomal RNA, 468 nt
Filed under: uncultured bacterium
Lineage: Bacteria
Description: partial 16S ribosomal RNA
Rfam family: Bacterial small subunit ribosomal RNA
Source: RNAcentral
GACGAACGCUGGCGGCGUGCUUAACACAUGCAAGUCGAACGGAAAGGCCCUGCUUUUGUUGGGUGCUCGAGUGGCGAACGGGUGAGUAACACGUGAGUAACCUGCCCUUGACUUUGGGAUAACUUCAGGAAACUGGGGCUAAUACCGGAUAGGAGCUCCUGCUGCAUGGUGGGGGUUGGAAAGUUUCGGCGGUUGGGGCUGGACUCGCGGCUUAUCAGCUUGUUGGUGGGGUAGUGGCUUACCAAGGCUUUGACGGGUAGCCGGCCUGAGAGGGUGACCGGCCACAUUGGGACUGAGAUACGGCCCAGACUCCUACGGGAGGCAGCAGUGGGGAAUAUUGCACAAUGGGCGGAAGCCUGAUGCAGCAACGCCGCGUGCGGGAUGACGGCCUUCGGGUUGUAAACCGCUUUCGCAUGUGACGAAGCGUGAGUGACGGUAAUGGGUAAAGAAGCACCGGCUAACUACGUG